GUACUACUGAAGAGUUCCAAACUGGGACGAAACAGCUGUCCAGUAC
Molecule: non-coding RNA, 46 nt
Filed under: Trichobilharzia regenti
Lineage: Eukaryota; Metazoa; Platyhelminthes; Trematoda; Strigeidida; Schistosomatidae
Source: RNAcentral